AUUGAACGCUGGCGGCAUGCUUUACACAUGCAAGUCGAACGGCAGCGCGGGCUUCGGCCUGGCGGCGAGUGGCGAACGGGUGAGUAAUACAUCGGAACGUGCCCAGUAGUGGGGGAUAGCUCGGCGAAAGCCGGAUUAAUACCGCAUACGACCUGAGGGGGAAAGCAGGGGAUCUUCGGACCUCGCGCUAUUGGAGCGGCCGAUGGCAGAUUAGCUAGUUGGUGGGGUAAAGGCCUACCAAGGCGACGAUCUGUAGCUGGUCUGAGAGGACGACCAGCCACACUGGGACUGAGACACGGCCCAGACUCCUACGGGAGGCAGCAGUGGGGAAUUUUGGACAAUGGGCGAAAGCCUGAUCCAGCAAUGCCGCGUGUGUGAUGAAGGCCUUCGGGUUGUAAAGCACUUUUGGAGGGAACGAAAAGGACUGUGCCAAUACCACGGUUCGAUGACGGUACCCGCAGAAUAAGCACCGGCUAACUACGUG
Molecule: ribosomal RNA, 484 nt
Filed under: uncultured bacterium
Lineage: Bacteria
Description: partial 16S ribosomal RNA
Rfam family: Bacterial small subunit ribosomal RNA
Source: RNAcentral